AGCAAUUGCCCCUUUUAAAUUACUAACAAGCGUUAGUCUCUCUUAUGCGGUAUUAGCUAUCGUUUCCAAUAGUUAUCCCCCGCUAUGAGGUAGGUAGGUAACCUACCUCAUAGCGGGGGAUAACUAUUGGAAACGAUAGCUAAUACCGCAUAAGAGAGACUAACGCAUGUUAGUAAUUUAAAAGGGGCAAUUGCUCCACUAUGAGAUGGACCUGCGUUGUAUUAGCUAGAUGGUGAGGAAAAGGCUCACCAAGGCGACGAUACAUAGCCGACCUGAGAGGGAGAUCGGCCACACUGGGACUGAGACACGGCCCCGACUCCUACGGGAGGCAGCAGUAGGGAAUCUUCGGCAAUGGGGGCAACCCUGACCGAGCAACGCCGCGUGAGUGAAGAAGGUUUUCGGAUCGUAAAGCUCUGUUGUUAGAGAAGAAUGAUGGUGGGAGUGGAAAAUCCACCAAGUGACGGUAACUAACCAGAAAGGGACGGCUAACUACGUGCCAGCAGCCGCGGUAAUACGUAGGUCCCGAGCGUUGUCCGGAUUUAUUGGGCGUAAAGCGAGCGCAGGGGUUUUUUAAGUCUGAAGUUAAAGGCAUUGGCUCAACCAAUGUACGCUUUGGAAACUGGAGAACUUGAGUGCAGAAGGGGAGAGUGGAAUUCCAUGUGUAGCGGUGAAAUGCGUAGAUAUAUGGAGGAACACCAGUGGCGAAAGCGGCUCUCUGGUCUGUAACUGACGCUGAGGCUCGAAAGCGUGGGGAGCAAACAGGAUUAGAUACCCUGGUAGUCCACGCCGUAAACGAUGAGUGCUAGGUGUUAGGCCUUUUCCGGGGCUUAGUGCCGGAGCUAAAGCAUUAAGCGCUCCGUCUGGGGGGUACGACCGCAAGGUUGAAACUCAAAGGAAUUGACGGGGGCCCGCACAAGCGGUGGCGCAUGU
Molecule: ribosomal RNA, 930 nt
Filed under: Streptococcus pyogenes serotype M18
Lineage: Bacteria; Bacillati; Bacillota; Bacilli; Lactobacillales; Streptococcaceae
Description: bacterial SSU rRNA
Rfam family: Bacterial small subunit ribosomal RNA
Source: RNAcentral